Molecule: ribosomal RNA, 245 nt
Filed under: uncultured bacterium
Lineage: Bacteria
Description: partial small subunit ribosomal RNA
Rfam family: Bacterial small subunit ribosomal RNA
Source: RNAcentral
AGAAUCAACGCUGGCGGCGUGCCUAACACAUGCAAGUCGAACGAGAAAGUGGAGCAAUCCAUGAGUAAAGUGGCGCACAGGUGAGUAACACGUGACUAACCUACCUUUUAGUGGGGGAUAACCUAGGGAAACCUGGGCUAAUACCGCAUAAUACCUACGGGUCAAAGCAGCAAUGCGCUGGAAGAGGGGGUCGCGGUCGAUUAGUUAGUUGGCAGGGUAAUGGCCUACCAAGACUGUGAUCGAUA